RNAcentral lists this ribosomal RNA (468 nucleotides) under uncultured bacterium. RNAcentral describes it as "partial 16S ribosomal RNA". It matches the Rfam family "Bacterial small subunit ribosomal RNA", at positions 28 to 507 of the family's 1533-position model. The record is from RNAcentral.
GACGAACGCUGGCGGCGUGCUUAACACAUGCAAGUCGAACGGAAAGGCCCUGCUUUUGUUGGGUGCUCGAGUGGCGAACGGGUGAGUAACACGUGAGUAACCUGCCCUUGACUUUGGGAUAACUUCAGGAAACUGGGGCUAAUACCGGAUAGGAGCUCCUGCUGCAUGGUGGGGGUUGGAAAGUUUCGGCGGUUGGGGAUGGACUCGCGGCUUAUCAGCUUGUUGGUGGGGUAGUGGCUUACCAAGGCUUUGACGGGUAGCCGGCCUGAGAGGGUGACCGGCCACAUUGGGACUGCGAUACGGCCCAGACUCCUACGGGAGGCAGCAGUGGGGAAUAUUGCACAAUGGGCGGAAGCCUGAUGCAGCAACGCCGCGUGCGGGAUGACGGCCUUCGGGUUGUAAACCGCUUUCGCCUGUGACGAAGCGUGAGUGACGGUAAUGGGUAAAGAAGCACCGGCUAACUACGUG